Molecule: transfer RNA, 72 nt
Filed under: Camelus bactrianus (Bactrian camel)
Lineage: Eukaryota; Metazoa; Chordata; Mammalia; Artiodactyla; Camelidae
Also listed under: 2 other names
Rfam family: tRNA
About the family: Transfer RNA (tRNA) molecules are approximately 80 nucleotides in length. Their secondary structure includes four short double-helical elements and three loops (D, anti-codon, and T loops). Further hydrogen bonds mediate the characteristic L-shaped molecular structure. tRNAs have two regions of fundamental functional importance: the anti-codon, which is responsible for specific mRNA codon recognition, and the 3' end, to which the tRNAs corresponding amino acid is attached (by aminoacyl-tRNA synthetases). tRNAs cope with the degeneracy of the genetic code in two manners: having more than one tRNA (with a specific anti-codon) for a particular amino acid; and 'wobble' base-pairing, i.e. permitting non-standard base-pairing at the 3rd anti-codon position.
Source: Rfam by way of RNAcentral
GAGGGUAUAGCUUAGUGGUAAAGUUUGUGCUUAGUAUACAUGAGGUCCUGGGUUCAAUCGCCAGUACCUCCA